GGGGAAUAUUGCACAAUGGGGGAAACCCUGAUGCAGCGACGCCGCGUGAGUGAAGAAGUAUUUCGGCAUGUAAAGCUCUAUCAGCAGGGAAGAAAAUGACGGUACCUGACUAAGAAGCCCCGGCUAACUACGUGCCAGCAGCCGCGGUAAUACGUAGGGGGCAAGCGUUAUCCGGAUUUACUGGGUGUAAAGGGAGCGUAGGUGGCAUAUCAAGUCAGAUGUGAAAGCCCGGGGCUCAACCCCGGGAUUGCAUUUGAAACUGGUUUGCUAGAGUGCAGGAGAGGUAAGUGGAAUUCCUAGUGUAGCGGUGAAAUGCGUAGAUAUUAGGAGGAACACCAGUGGCGAAGGCGGCUUACUGGACUGUAACUGACACUGAGGCUCGAAAGCGUGGGGAGCAAAC
This 400-nucleotide ribosomal RNA is filed under the name uncultured bacterium. RNAcentral's name for it is "bacterial SSU rRNA". It matches the Rfam family "Bacterial small subunit ribosomal RNA", at positions 356 to 773 of the family's 1533-position model. The record is from RNAcentral.